UACAGAGGGUGCAAGCGUUAAUCGGAAUUACUGGGCGUAAAGGGCGCGUAGGCGGUUUGAUAAGUGAGAUGUGAAAUCCCCGGGCUUAACCUGGGAACAGCAUUUUAGACUGUUAGACUAGAGUACAGUAGAGGGUAGAGGAAUUUCCGGUGUAGCGGUGAAAUGCGUAGAUAUCGGAAGGAACACCAGUGGCGAAGGCGGCUACCUGGACUGACACUGACGCUGAGGCGCGAGAGCGUGGGGAGCAAACAGG
This 253-nucleotide ribosomal RNA is filed under the name uncultured bacterium. RNAcentral's name for it is "partial 16S ribosomal RNA". It matches the Rfam family "Bacterial small subunit ribosomal RNA", at positions 524 to 776 of the family's 1533-position model. The record is from RNAcentral.